This 254-nucleotide ribosomal RNA is filed under the name uncultured bacterium. RNAcentral's name for it is "partial 16S ribosomal RNA". It matches the Rfam family "Bacterial small subunit ribosomal RNA", at positions 524 to 776 of the family's 1533-position model. The record is from RNAcentral.
UACAGAGGUCUCAAGCGUUGUUCGGAUUUACUGGGCGUAAAGCGCACGUAGGCGGAUCCUUAAGUCGGGGGUGAAAUCCUGGAGCUCAACUCCAGAACUGCCUUCGAUACUGAGGAUCUCGAGUCCGGGAGAGGUGGAGUGGAACUGCGAGUGUAGAGGUGAAAUUCGUAGAUAUUCGCAAGAACACCAGUGGCGAAGGCGGCUCACUGGCCCGGUACUGACGCUGAGGUGCGAAAGCGUGGGGAGCAAACAGG